GGGACAUCGGCCGCGGUCACGGCCGAGCCCUCCGCUGGGACAACGGGAGCUUCGGGGCUCCGCGACCCCAACCUCAGCCCGGCGGGACCCUCAGGAACCCCGCAUCCCCUCAGGGACCCCCCCGAGCCCCUUAAGGUAUUCCGCAUCCCUUUAGCUCCAGUGCGAUCCUCCGAGCCCCUCAAGGGAGUCCCGCGCUCAGCCGGCUGGGAUCCCUCGAGUUCCUCAGGGAAGCUCAGCCCGGAGGGAGCCCCGCACCUCCUCAGGGACUCCCACGUCCCUCAGUCCCGGCGGGACCCCCUCACGCCCCCCACACCGUCCCCGCUCACCUGGGGCCGCCGGGGCAGGAAAGGGCUCGCUCAGCCCCGGGAUGGGGAGGGAAGAGGCGCUGCAAGCCCAGCGCCGAGCCGGCCUGCGACGGCGGCGAGCGCGGCGCCUCCACCAAGUUUCCGGGCGGGGAAGAAAGUCGAAACCUACGUGAGAGGAGGAGGAGGAGGCAGCGCAGCCGCCCAGGUGUCACUCGCCCGCCCGGCACGGCUCAGCCCAGCCCUGCCCUCCCCUCACCGCCUCCGCCUCCUCCGCCGCCGCCGCCGCCUCCCGAGCCGCGCACACCCGGCGGCCUCGGCCCGCCCCGCCAGAGCAGCAGCGGCGGCUGGGGCGAGUCCGGGCCUCGACCGCCGGUGCCCUCAGGGCAUCGCCUCUGCCCUCGGGCACGUCCCGAGCCUCGACCGCCCGCUGCCCUCAGGGGAUCCCUGCUCCCUCAGGGCAUCCCCGCUGCCCUCAGGGCACCUCCCGGGCCUCGACCGCCCGUUGCCCUCAGGGCACCUCCCGGGCCUCGACCGCCCAUUGCCCUCAGGGCAUCCUCGCUGCCCUCAAGGGAUCCUCGCAGCCCUCGGGGCACCUCCCGGGCCUGGACCGCCCGCUCCCCUCACGGCAUCCCCGCUGCCCUCGGGCACGUCCCUGGCCUUGGCUUCCAGUCCCUUCAGAGCAUCCCCACUGCCCUUACCACAGUUUCCCCUCGAGGUAGUCUUGCUGCCCUUGGGGCAGCUCCCGCUCCCCUCAGGGCAUCCCCCCGCUGCCCUUAGCACAAUUCCCCCUCGAGGUAUUCCUGCUCCCCUCAGAGCAUUCCUCCUUCCCUCACGGCAUCCCGGCUCCCUUCGGGACAUCUCUGCUGCCCUCAGGGCAAUCCCCAUCCCCGCAGGGCAUCCCUGCUUCCCUCAUGCCAGUUUCCCUCCUGGCAAUCCCUGCUCCCCUCAAAGCAUUCUUGCUCCCCUCAAAGCAUUCCUGCUCCCCUCAGAGGAAAAUAUGGCCCUGGAUACCAGGGAGUGCUGA
RNAcentral lists this long non-coding RNA (1329 nucleotides) under Junco hyemalis (dark-eyed junco). RNAcentral's name for it is "lncRNA (ENSJHYG00000001223.1)". Lineage: Eukaryota; Metazoa; Chordata; Aves; Passeriformes; Passerellidae. The record is from RNAcentral.